Molecule: long non-coding RNA, 896 nt
Filed under: Sparus aurata (gilthead seabream)
Lineage: Eukaryota; Metazoa; Chordata; Actinopteri; Spariformes; Sparidae
Description: lncRNA (ENSSAUG00010020645.1)
Source: RNAcentral
CUGUGUUAGCAGGCAGAGAGAAGCUGCAGUUUGUCCUGGUGCUUUGAAUAAUUACACUGUGAUAAGAAGGUGAGUUCAGUCUUAUCUGAGGUCUGAUGUUUUUUACAACAGUCAGGACUGUUAUUGAUAUGGAGAGGAAGUUAAGCACUAGGAACAGCAGGAAUUAGAGCGCGUAAACAGAGUGUGAGAGCUCACCUGGGCUCCUCCUCCUGUGAUGAAGCACACCUGAGAGACCUUCAGCAGCUGAGGACGGGCUGAAUUUGCUCUCACCUGCUAAUUUCAGUCCUAUAAAGCCUCUUCGGGUGGUGCCAGUCCAAAGUCUCAAUCACUGUGAUCGUUGUGGCGCAGACAGUCGUGUCCGUGUGAACCUCCAGCUGAAGAUGAAAGUGUGUGUGAGUUAAGCAGCAUGAAUCAGUGUGAGGAAAGAGUGGAGGGAGACCCUCCCUGUAAAACCACUGGACCUGGACCUGGACAUGGACCUGAGCCCAGCUGUGUAUCCUUCAGGAGUGACCAGUCAAUGGAUGAUAUUAUUCAUUUGAAACAAGAACAUUCCUCAGACAGACAGAGACCAGCCUCUACUGGACCUGGACCUGGACCUGAGCCCAGCUGUGUUUCCUUUAAGAGUGACCAGUCAAUGGAUGAUAUUAUUCAUUUGAAACAAGAACAUUCCUCAGACAGACAGUAAGUUUGUGUCAUGUUGCUCUCUGUUGAUGUUUGUCCUCAUUAAAUCCAGUCUGACCAGUUCUCUUGAUGAGCUUCAUGUUCUCAGAGUGAUGAUGGGGGACAUAAUUCAUAGUCCUUGUUCUGUGUUAAAUUACCUUAAAUAGUUCAGCUGAGGAUAAUAUGAAGCUUCAGAAGUCUGAGCUACACAGAACAAGUGGAGAUCCUCCAAGGAG